This 81-nucleotide transfer RNA is filed under the name Artomyces pyxidatus. Its description in RNAcentral is "tRNA-Val". It matches the Rfam family "tRNA". Rfam says of the family: Transfer RNA (tRNA) molecules are approximately 80 nucleotides in length. Their secondary structure includes four short double-helical elements and three loops (D, anti-codon, and T loops). Lineage: Eukaryota; Fungi; Basidiomycota; Agaricomycetes; Russulales; Auriscalpiaceae. The record is from RNAcentral.
GGUUCAAUGGUCUAAUGGUUAUGAUUUCUGUCUCACAUCGGUGUUCACAGAAGGUUCCCGGUUCGAUCCCGGGUUGAACCA